RNAcentral lists this ribosomal RNA (446 nucleotides) under uncultured bacterium. RNAcentral describes it as "partial 16S ribosomal RNA". It matches the Rfam family "Bacterial small subunit ribosomal RNA", at positions 338 to 795 of the family's 1533-position model. The record is from RNAcentral.
CCUACGGGAGGCAGCAGUCGAGAAUCAUUCACAAUGGGGGAAACCCUGAUGGUGCGACGCCGCGUGGGGGAAUGAAGGUCUUCGGAUUGUAAACUCCUUUCAUGUGGGAGCAAAUUAAAAAGAUAGUACCACAAGAGGAAGAGACGGCUAACUCUGUGCCAGCAGCCGCGGUAAUACAGAGGUCUCAAGCGUUGUUCGGAAUCACUGGGCGUAAAGCGUGCGUAGGCUGUUUCGUAAGUCGUGUGUGAAAGGCGCGGGCUCAACCCGCGGACGGCACAUGAUACUGGGAGACUAGAGUAAGGGAGGGGGAAGCGGAAUUCGCGGUGUAGCAGUGAAAUGCGUAGAUAUCGGGAGGAACACUCGUGGCGAAGGCGGGUUCCUGGACAUUAACUGACGCUGAGGCACGAAGGCCAGGGGAGCGAAAGGGAUUAGAUACCCGAGUAGUC